CCCCUGAAUAGAAAAGAGGGGAUACUCUUGCCAGAGAGGUAAGGGCCGGAGUUGGUCAGCUUCGGAAAAUAUAUUAACAAGGAUGCAGAGACCACAUCCAAUCC
Molecule: non-coding RNA, 104 nt
Submitted as: unclassified sequences
Source: Rfam